Molecule: ribosomal RNA, 207 nt
Filed under: uncultured bacterium
Lineage: Bacteria
Description: partial 16S ribosomal RNA
Rfam family: Bacterial small subunit ribosomal RNA
Source: RNAcentral
CGUGUAGGCGGCCUGAUAAGUAUGAAGUGAAAGUCCUGCUUUCAAGGUGGGAAUUGCUUUGUAGACUGUCGGGCUUGAGUGCGGAAGAGGUAAGUGGAAUUCCCAGUGUAGCGGUGAAAUGCGUAGAGAUUGGGAGGAACACCAGUGGCGAAGGCGACUUACUGGGCCGUAACUGACGCUGAGGCGCGAAAGCGUGGGGAGCGAACA